GAUGAAGAACGCAGUGAAAUGCGAUAAGUAAUGUGAAUUGCAGAAUUCAGUGAAUCAUCGAAUCUUUGAACGCACAUUGCGCCCGCUAGUAUUCUGGCGGGCAUGCCUGUCCGAGCGUCAUUUCAACCCUCAAGCCCCCGGGCUUGGUGUUGGGGAUCGGCGAGCCUCCGCGCCCGCCGUCCCCUAAAUCUAGUGGCGGUCUCGCUGUAGCUUCCUCUGCGUAGUAGCACACCUCGCACUGGGAAACAGCGCGGCCACGCCGUUAAACCCCCAACUUCUGAACGUUUGACCUCGGAUCAGGUAGGAAUACACGCUGAACUUAAGCAUAUCAAUAAGCGGAGGA
This 343-nucleotide unclassified non-coding RNA is filed under the name soil metagenome. RNAcentral describes it as "partial contains 5.8S ribosomal RNA, internal transcribed spacer 2, and large subunit ribosomal RNA". The stretch from base 1 to 120 matches the Rfam family "5.8S ribosomal RNA", at positions 35 to 154 of the family's 154-position model. The record is from RNAcentral.